CAGUAGCGCGGUAAUACGUAGGGUGCAAGCGUUAAUCGGAAUUACUGGGCGUAAAGCGUGCGCAGGCGGUUCGGAAAGAAAGAUGUGAAAUCCCAGGGCUCAACCUUGGAACUGCAUUUUUAACUACCGGACUAGAGUAUGUCAGAGGGAGGUGGAAUUCCACGUGUAGCAGUGAAAUGCGUAGAUAUGUGGAGGAACACCGAUGGCGAAGGCAGCCUCCUGGGAUAAUACUGACGCUCAUGCACGAAAGCGUGGGGAGCAAACGGGAUUAGAUACCCGAGUAGUCCCUGUCUCUUAUAAA
RNAcentral lists this ribosomal RNA (301 nucleotides) under uncultured bacterium. RNAcentral describes it as "partial 16S ribosomal RNA". It matches the Rfam family "Bacterial small subunit ribosomal RNA", at positions 509 to 810 of the family's 1533-position model. The record is from RNAcentral.